UACAGAGGGUGCGAGCGUUAAUCGGAGUUACUGGGCGUAAAGGGCGCGUAGGCGGUUAUAUAAGUGAGAUGUGAAAUCCCUGGGCUUAACCUAGGAACUGCAUCUCAUACUGUAUGACUGGAGUAUUGUAGAGGGUAGUGGAAUUUCCGGUGUAGCGGUGAAAUGCGUGGAGAUCGGAAGGAACACCAGUGGCGAAGGCGGGUCGCUGGGAAACAACUGACGCUGAGGAACGAAAGCGUGGGUAGCAAACAGG
Molecule: ribosomal RNA, 253 nt
Filed under: uncultured bacterium
Lineage: Bacteria
Description: partial 16S ribosomal RNA
Rfam family: Bacterial small subunit ribosomal RNA
Source: RNAcentral